AUGCGAUAAGUAAUGUGAAUUGCAGAAUUCAGUGAAUCAUCGAAUCUUUGAACGCACCUUGCGCUCCUUGGUAUUCCGAGGAGCAUGUCUGUUUGAGUGUCAUUAAAUUCUCAACCUUACCAGUUUCUUGCUGUGUAAUGGCUUGGAUGUGGAGGUUUUUGCAGGUCCAUACUUACUUGGUCUGCUCCUCUGAAAUGAAUUAGCUGGGUUCAGUUUUGACCUGUCUAUUGGUGUGAUAAUUAUCUACAUCAUUGGCGGUUAUGCUUCAAAAACCUGCUUCUAAUCGUCUGUAAUGGACAACUAUUGACAUUUUUGACCUCAAAUCAGAUAAGACUACCCGCUGAACUUAA
This 350-nucleotide unclassified non-coding RNA is filed under the name uncultured Agaricales. RNAcentral describes it as "partial contains 5.8S ribosomal RNA, internal transcribed spacer 2, and large subunit ribosomal RNA". The stretch from base 1 to 102 matches the Rfam family "5.8S ribosomal RNA", at positions 53 to 154 of the family's 154-position model. The record is from RNAcentral. Lineage: Eukaryota; Fungi; Basidiomycota; Agaricomycetes; Agaricales.